This 253-nucleotide ribosomal RNA is filed under the name uncultured bacterium. RNAcentral's name for it is "partial 16S ribosomal RNA". It matches the Rfam family "Bacterial small subunit ribosomal RNA", at positions 524 to 776 of the family's 1533-position model. The record is from RNAcentral.
UACAGAGGUCCCGAGCGUUGUUCGGAAUCACUGGGCGUAAAGGGUGCGUAGGCGGGUCUUUAAGUCAGGGGGGAAAUCCUGGAGCUCAACUCCAGAACUGCCUUUGAUACUGAGGAUCUUGAGUUCGGGAGAGGUGAGUGGAACUGCGAGUGUAGAGGUGAAAUUCGUAGAUAUUCGCAAGAACACCAGUGGCGAAGGCGGCUCACUGGCCCGAUACUGACGCUGAGGCACGAAAGCGUGGGGAGCAAACAGG